UCGAAGGUAGCAUAAUCAGUAGUCUUUUAAUUGAAGGCUGGAAUGAAUGAUUGGACGAGAUAUUAACUGUUUCAUAAAAAUUUUUAAUAAAAUUUUAUUUUUUAGUAAAAAAGCUAAAAUUUAUUUAAAAGACGAGAAGACCCUAUAAAUCUUUAUAUUUUAUUUGUUAUAAUUUUUAGGAUUUUUUUUUAUAUUUUAAUAAAGAAAAAUAUUUAAUUGGGGUGAUAUUAAAAUUUAAUAAACUUUUAAUAAUUAAAAUCAUUAAUUUAUGAUUAAUUGAUCUGUUAAUAACGAUUUUUAAAAAAAGUUACUUUAGGGAUAACAGCGUAAUUUUUUUGGAGAGUUCAUAUCGAUAAAAAAGAUUGCGACCUCGAUGUUGGAUUAA
RNAcentral lists this ribosomal RNA (385 nucleotides) under Morinia aff. doronici 2 AT-2015. RNAcentral's name for it is "partial 16S ribosomal RNA". Lineage: Eukaryota; Metazoa; Arthropoda; Insecta; Diptera; Polleniidae. The record is from RNAcentral.